AUUUGUAUAGUUUAAAUCAAAACAAUACAUUUUCAUUGUAUAAAUAAUAUAAAUAUAAAUAUUUACAAAUA
This 71-nucleotide transfer RNA is filed under the name Tachycines shuangcha. Its description in RNAcentral is "tRNA-Glu". Lineage: Eukaryota; Metazoa; Arthropoda; Insecta; Orthoptera; Rhaphidophoridae. The record is from RNAcentral.